UCCUAGCACACGAUUAUCAGCCUUUCCUUAACAGGGCGGGUAACCUUUUCAAAAUACCAGUUUGAUUUUAAAGCUUUGGGUCAAUUAGGGUGAUGGUUCGAUAGAACCAAUAUCACCCAGCUGCUACUCGUGCGCGCGUGUUAUUCCUGGUGACUCAUGGUGGGGACCGACAUUUGUAAUUGUCUGUCGCGUGUUAACCGGGAAUGCCUUGUACUGUCGAUUCACUAAGUUAUGGGGAAUACGUCCCUGCCCUUUGUACACACCGCCCGUCGCUCUUACCGAUGGCUUUGGCUGCGAGUAAAAGGGACUUUCGUUUUGGAAC
RNAcentral lists this ribosomal RNA (322 nucleotides) under Globigerinoides ruber. RNAcentral describes it as "partial 18S ribosomal RNA". It matches the Rfam family "Eukaryotic small subunit ribosomal RNA", at positions 1401 to 1729 of the family's 1831-position model. Lineage: Eukaryota; Foraminifera; Rotaliida; Globigerinidae. The record is from RNAcentral.